UGCGGAGUAGAGUAGAGGUUAACUUGCUAGGUUCAUACCCUGGAGAUCGUAGGUUCGAUUCCUGCCUCCGCAA
Molecule: non-coding RNA, 73 nt
Organism: Triplophysa rosa
Lineage: Eukaryota; Metazoa; Chordata; Actinopteri; Cypriniformes; Nemacheilidae
Source: the annotation of a RefSeq genome assembly